This 600-nucleotide ribosomal RNA is filed under the name uncultured proteobacterium clone GPMT16. RNAcentral's name for it is "bacterial SSU rRNA". It matches the Rfam family "Bacterial small subunit ribosomal RNA", at positions 28 to 623 of the family's 1533-position model. The record is from RNAcentral. Lineage: Bacteria; Pseudomonadati; Pseudomonadota; Betaproteobacteria.
AUUGAACGCUGGCGGCAUGCCUUACACAUGCAAGUCGAACGGCAGCACGGGAGCAAUCCUGGUGGCGAGUGGCGAACGGGUGAGUAAUAUAUCGGAACGUGCCCAGUAGUGGGGGAUAGCCCGGCGAAAGCCGGAUUAAUACCGCAUACGACCUGAGGGUGAAAGCGGGGGAUCGCAAGACCUCGCGCUACUGGAGCGGCCGAUAUCAGAUUAGCUAGUUGGUGGGGUAAAGGCCUACCAAGGCAACGAUCUGUAGUUGGUCUGAGAGGACGACCAGCCACACUGGGACUGAGACACGGCCCAGACUCCUACGGGAGGCAGCAGUGGGGAAUUUUGGACAAUGGGCGCAAGCCUGAUCCAGCAAUGCCGCGUGCAGGAAGAAGGCCUUCGGGUUGUAAACUGCUUUUGUCAGGGAAGAAAUCUUCUGGGCUAAUACCCCGGGAGGAUGACGGUACCUGAAGAAUAAGCACCGGCUAACUACGUGCCAGCAGCCGCGGUAAUACGUAGGGUGCGAGCGUUAAUCGGAAUUACUGGGCGUAAAGCGUGCGCAGGCGGCUUUGCAAGACAGAAGUGAAAUCCCCGGGCUCAACCUGGGAACUG